UGAGCGCGAGGGCCGGGGAGGGCCGCAGCUACAGUCGCCCCGGCUCCCCGAACGCUGAGGCGGCCGGGGUCGGGCCGUGGGCCGGCUUCCGGCUGUCGCUUUGGUACCUGGCGGAGCCCCGGGCGCCCGGAGCCUGCGGACCUCGAGGGCAGGGGUCGCGUGCCGCCCUUCUGGCAUUGGCGCGGCCGGCUAGGAGGGUGCAGAGACGGAGCGCCAGCGGAGGAAGCCCCACACAAUGGAGCAGAACAAAGCGCGGCGGCACCGAGGAAGCGGCCCGUCCCCCGCCCCGCGCGCUGUCCCGCCCCGCCCCGCCCCGCGAGCGCCGGCGUGCGCGCCGUCCGCCCCCACUUUCCUUCUGACCCCGGGCGGGAGUCAGACUACCCGCUAAAGUUGACUGGGAGGGGCCGUUUCGUUUGGGUGUGUGUUACAAUAGCGGGACCCCGGGUAGACGUGGGGCGUCAGCGGGAGCCGGCAGCUUGCCAGGGGGCUUAAACGGAGGCUCCCCAUGUGGCUUCUGGAGAGGGGUCUGCUGAGCAGCGCUGGCGGGAGGCGGCAAGGCUGGUGUUCUAGAACAGACCUCAGAAGAUACAUAGAGAUCCUGUUAUCUUUCAGAUGAAAACCCUGCUCAAAGCACGUUGUUAGGAUUGCCCAGCUGUUUGCUUGGCCUUAAAUAGUUAAUGUGGCUCAAGCUUCCCCAGAAUGUAGUGAGCUGAACUUCCACUUUUGGAAUCAUUGCAGAAUUCAUUAUUUAUUCAGAGAUGAGAAACUUCUACUAAGGAAAGAAACAAGUCCACCUUCAUGGCCCUUCUCAGUUUUUCCUCCUGACCGUGGGACUCCACAUCAUCGUAACCUGCUGAUGUCCAGAAAACAUCCAAUCUUGCCACUGACUCUCAAAAGUCUAAAAAUAUUACAAAUUCCAGGAAGACAAGAUUGCAUUAGAAGGAAGAAUUUGAUGAUGCGCCCUUUCUGCUUCGGACAGUGACCAUGAAACUGCUGGCGACUACAAAAGCUGCCAGACUUCUAUAUGAGCAUCUCUACUGGGAGAGACAUAAUCCUCGUGGGUAUGAUACAUGACUGUUUGCUCCCACCUAGGAAUCACCAUCGAUUCUUACAAGAAGUUGCUGCCUGAUUCACUGGAGCCAACUCCCUCCCCACCUCCAACUUUCCUUCUGUUCUGCAAGUCGCAGGGAUCUUUGCAGUCACAGGAGGCUCAGAGAUUGCAGUAUGUGGGUAUGGCCAUGACCUCCACAGUCAGCAUUUACAAAACAAGAUGAUUCAGCUCAGCCAUGAAAUGAGAAGGUGGAUGGGAGUGAAGAUGGGGGAGCAACCAUCCACUACCUGCAGCCUGUGAGACAGAUGACUUCCCACCUUCACAGUAGCAAUAAGCAGUGGCAUAAAUAUAAUACUGAGGCUCCCUGGGUUCUAAUUCUAGCUUAGGCCCUUUCUCUACUUCAAUUUUUGCACUUAGACCGAACAACUUUCUUGGUAAUGACUACAUGAUGGGUAUAUGCUUUCAGGUUUUACAUAAAAUAUUUCUAUUGCACAGUUACUGGCUUUUGGUCUAAUGCCCUGAGCUGCCUGCUUUGAUAACCCUGCUCUGAUUUUCCUCUGAGAGCUACCAGAGAUUCCAGUCAUAGCCCAUGAGCUUCAACAUGGAGGUGAUCCCUUCUCAGCUCCAGGAGUGAAGCAGGCGAACAAAAGCCUGGCUCAUCAGCAUUUCGUGUUUCCCUGCAUUACGUGGAUGAUUCAGGGGUGGACAGCCAAUCAGAGUGAAUCUCAGGAUUUCUCUAGAAGCUGCCUGAAGAGACUUGCUCUAGUUCUAGUAAUCUGAGUGUUGGGUGUUCUUAUGCUAGGAGCCUAAAGGCAAGAGGAAGAAAUGAAGCAGAGCCAGGAAAUGGAUCCUGGCAGCCUUGUUGAGGACUGAAUCACACUGACCUCAAGCUCUACCUGGACUUUUACUAAUAAAAUCUUGUUUUAGCUUAA
Molecule: non-coding RNA, 1983 nt
Organism: Manis javanica (Malayan pangolin)
Lineage: Eukaryota; Metazoa; Chordata; Mammalia; Pholidota; Manidae
Source: RefSeq, a predicted model, not a curated record